RNAcentral lists this long non-coding RNA (273 nucleotides) under Setaria viridis. RNAcentral describes it as "long non-coding RNA (SVIR_LNC000460)". The record is from RNAcentral. Lineage: Eukaryota; Viridiplantae; Streptophyta; Magnoliopsida; Poales; Poaceae.
UCGCCGUCAGCCCAACACGGGAGGAGAGAGCCACGCUCCGCCUCGCCCGACCCAGUGUCCCGGGGUCGGACGUCCCCGACCCCUUGAAGACCAAACUCCGCCUCGCCCGACCUGCGGGCCUAGGGUCGGGAGCGCCUGACUCCCCGCCGCAAGACUCCGCCUCGCCCGACUCCGGGCACAGGGGGUCGGACUCACUCGAGCCCACCAGACAAGUAUCCACCUCGGGCGCGGAUCUCGUGGGUCCCACCACAAGUACCCAUGCGCGGCCGCGUG